GUGCCAGCCGCCGCGGUAAUACCGGCAGCCCGAGUGAUGGCCGAUCUUAUUGGGCCUAAAGCGUCCGUAGCUGGCUGCGCAAGUUCGUCGGGAAAUCCACUCGCUUAACGAGUGGGCGUCCGGCGAAAACUGUGCGGCUUGGGACCGGAAGAUCCAAGGGGUACGUCCGGGGUAGGAGUGAAAUCCCGUAAUCCUGGACGGACCACCGAUGGCGAAAGCACCUUGGAAGGACGGAUCCGACAGUGAGGGACGAAAGCUAGGGUCUCGAACCGGAUUAGAAACCCUAGUAGUCC
RNAcentral lists this ribosomal RNA (293 nucleotides) under uncultured bacterium. RNAcentral describes it as "partial 16S ribosomal RNA". It matches the Rfam family "Archaeal small subunit ribosomal RNA", at positions 455 to 747 of the family's 1478-position model. The record is from RNAcentral.